This 402-nucleotide ribosomal RNA is filed under the name uncultured bacterium. RNAcentral describes it as "bacterial SSU rRNA". It matches the Rfam family "Bacterial small subunit ribosomal RNA", at positions 355 to 774 of the family's 1533-position model. The record is from RNAcentral.
UAGGGAAUCUUGGACAAUGGGCGAAAGCCUGAUCCAGCCAUGCCGCGUGAGUGAUGAAGGCCUUAGGGUUGUAAAGCUCUUUCGCCAGGGAAGAUAAUGACGGUACCCGGAUAAGAAGCCCCGGCUAACUUCGUGCCAGCAGCCGCGGUAAUACGAAGGGGGCUAGCGUUGUUCGGAAUUACUGGGCGUAAAGCGCACGUAGGCGGCUUUCCAAGUUGGAGGUGAAAUCCCCGGGCUUAACCCGGGAACUGCCUCCAAAACUGAAAGGCUAGAGUCCGAGAGAGGUGAGUGGAAUUUCCAGUGUAGAGGUGAAAUUCGUAGAUAUUGGAAAGAACACCAGUGGCGAAGGCGGCUCACUGGCUCGGUACUGACGCUGAGGUGCGACAGCGUGGGGAGCAAACA